This is a long non-coding RNA of Lathyrus oleraceus (garden pea), 1098 nucleotides long. RefSeq lists it as uncharacterized. The record is from RefSeq and is a predicted model, not a curated record. The transcript has 2 exons. Lineage: Eukaryota; Viridiplantae; Streptophyta; Magnoliopsida; Fabales; Fabaceae.
GUUACAGAGGGAGUAUUUGAACUUGGUCUUUCUCAUAUCCCUCUCAUUUCCCAUCCUUCUUUCUCUCUCUUACACUCUCCCUCUCUCUUGCUUUCAAUUCUCUCUUCUCUGCUCUAAACCCAUCCCUCUCUGACCACCCUUCACCUCCUUCCUGAAACCACCACACUACCCAGAUAUCUAGUUGAAGUUCAACUGGGAUCUUCAACCGGUGUUCAUCAGGAUGAUGAACACCUACCUAGAAAACCCCUUAACCUAAUAACCCUAACCCUAAGAACCCUAACCUAAUCACCAAGAACCCUACCCUUCUGCAAGAACCCUAACCUCAAUCCUAGAAGAACCAUAACCUUGUUAUUCAUACAAAGCCCAGAAACAUAAGAACUCUAACCCUCCCCAGAUGAACCCUAGGGUUUGUCACAUGAACCAUAACCCUAGUUAUUUUUCCAAAAACCCUUCAAACCAAACAUAAACACAACACAAAUAGUAACAAUCUAUAGAUCUUAACUUUCCUAGAAAUAAUCAAACAUUCAAAAUAUAGAAUUAAACCACAUAUCUAAAACCUAAACAAAACCCUGAAAUCCCUCAGUUAUACCCCUAACCCAUUCAAAUCAUACAAGCGAACAAACAAACAAUCAAAGCGCAUCAAAAAUCACAGAGAACGGAAAUUUAACCUUCAGAGAGGAAGAGUUCUCCAGUCAAGGUGCUUGGACCUGUGAAGGAGGCAAAGCUUAGAAGAAUUAGGGUUUCAAUGUGAAACCCUAAUCUCAAAGUGAUUCAAGCUCUGGUGAGGGAUUAGGAUUGCAACAUCAGUUAAAACUUUUUAGGGUUCUUUUUCGUCCCUGUUCAUCUCAAUUCAUCAUAUAUUUAUAGGUUAAUAUUAGGUUUUAAGUUUUAAUUUGAUUUAUUUAUAAUUAGAGACUUACGAUUUUGAUUGCUAUUGUUUUAGAGAAUUUUUAAUUUGAUUUGAUUUGUAAUUCUGAUUGUUUUGAGAUUUGAUUCAGAAUUAGAAUUAGGUUUGGAGAUUUGAUGUAUUGAGAUUGAUUUUAAUGUAAAUUCAAUUGUUUGAAUGCUUUUGUAAAUAUAAAGUUUUGAUUCAAUGCA